UGCCUUUUUGUGUUGCCCGUUCUUUGCCUUGUCCUCAAAAGAAUGUGGUGUCAAAAAAGGCAUACAGUAAAGUCUUGGUUCGGCCUUUACUGGGUAGCUGUAGUGUUACCUCAUGCAAAGCUCUGUACCAGGAACAUGU
Molecule: small nucleolar RNA, 139 nt
Organism: Tachysurus fulvidraco (yellow catfish)
Lineage: Eukaryota; Metazoa; Chordata; Actinopteri; Siluriformes; Bagridae
Product: small nucleolar RNA SNORA13
Exons: 1
Source: RefSeq, a predicted model, not a curated record